AUUGAACGCUGGCGGCAUGCCUUACACAUGCAAGUCGAACGGUAACAGGUCUUCGGAUGCUGACGAGUGGCGAACGGGUGAGUAAUACAUCGGAACGUGCCUAGUAGUGGGGGAUAACUACUCGAAAGAGUGGCUAAUACCGCAUGAGAUCUACGGAUGAAAGCAGGGGAUCGCAAGACCUUGUGCUACUAGAGCGGCCGAUGGCAGAUUAGGUAGUUGGUGGGAUAAAAGCUCACCAAGCCGACGAUCUGUAGCUGGUCUGAGAGGACGAUCAGCCACACUGGGACUGAGACACAGCCCAGACUCCUACGGGAGGCAGCAGUGGGGAAUUUUGGACAAUGGGCGUAAGCCUGAUCCAGCAAUGCCGCGUGCAGGAUGAAGGCCUUCGGGUUGUAAACUGCUUUUGUACGGAACGAAAAGCCCCGGGUUAAUACCCUGGGGUCAUGACGGUACCGUAAGAAUAAGCACCGGCUAACUACGUGCCAGCCGCCGCGGUAA
This 498-nucleotide ribosomal RNA is filed under the name uncultured bacterium. Its description in RNAcentral is "partial 16S ribosomal RNA". It matches the Rfam family "Bacterial small subunit ribosomal RNA", at positions 30 to 523 of the family's 1533-position model. The record is from RNAcentral.